UACGUAGGGGGCAAGCGUUGCCCGGAAUCAUUGGGCGUAAAGCGCGUGUAGGCGGCUCGAUAAGUCUGCUGUGAAAGUUCAGGGCUCAACCCCGAAAUGCCGGUGGAAACUGUCGAGCUAGAGUCCGGAAGAGGCGAGUGGAAUUCCUGGUGUAGCGGUGAAAUGCGCAGAUAUCAGGAGGAACACCGAUGGCGAAGGCAGGUCUCUGGGCCACUACUGACGCUGAGAAGCGAAAGCAUGGGGAGCGAACAGG
RNAcentral lists this ribosomal RNA (253 nucleotides) under uncultured bacterium. Its description in RNAcentral is "partial 16S ribosomal RNA". It matches the Rfam family "Bacterial small subunit ribosomal RNA", at positions 524 to 776 of the family's 1533-position model. The record is from RNAcentral.